AACGUAGGAGACAAACGUUAUCCGGAUUUACUGGGCGUAAAGGGCGUGUAGGUGGUUUCGUAAGUCUGGCGUGAAAUUUUUCGGCUUAACCGGGAAAGGUCGUCGGAUACUGCGGAACUAGAGGACGGUAGAGGCGUGUGGAAUUCCGGGUGUAGUGGUGAAAUGCGUAGAGAUCCGGAGGAACACCAGUGGCGAAGGCGACACGCUGGGCCGUACCUGACACUGAUGCGCGACAGCAUGGGGAGCAAACAGG
Molecule: ribosomal RNA, 253 nt
Filed under: uncultured bacterium
Lineage: Bacteria
Description: partial 16S ribosomal RNA
Rfam family: Bacterial small subunit ribosomal RNA
Source: RNAcentral